This 505-nucleotide ribosomal RNA is filed under the name uncultured bacterium. Its description in RNAcentral is "partial 16S ribosomal RNA". It matches the Rfam family "Bacterial small subunit ribosomal RNA", at positions 28 to 523 of the family's 1533-position model. The record is from RNAcentral.
GAUGAACGCUAGCGGCAGGCUUAAUACAUGCAAGUCGUGGGGCAGCAUGAGUAGCAAUACUUGAUGGCGACCGGCAAACGGGUGCGGAACACGUACACAACCUUCCGAUAAGUGGGGAAUAGCCCAGAGAAAUUUGGAUUAAUACCCCGUAACAUAUAGAGUAGGCAUCUUCUUUAUAUUAUAGCUUCGGCGCUUAUUGAUGGGUGUGCGUCUGAUUAGGUAGUUGGCGGGGUAACGGCCCACCAAGCCUACGAUCAGUAGCUGAUGUGAGGGCACGAUCAGCCAGACGGGCACGGAGACACGGGCCCGACUCCUACGGGAGGCAGCAGUAGGGAAUCUUCCACAAUGGACGAAAGUCUGAUGGAGCAACGCCGCGUGAACGAUGAAGGCUUUCGGGUCGUAAAGUUCUGUUGUAAGGGAAGAACAAGUGCCGCAGGCAAUGGCGGCACCUUGACGGUACCUUGCGAGAAAGCCACGGCUAACUACGUGCCAGCCGCCGCCGUAA